AAGGAAUUUUUAAAUCCUUGAAUCAAUAGACUUUCGUACAACGACACUGCUCCUCAGCAAAUCUAAUCCCAAUACUAAUUCCAGAAUAAUGCUAUAACGGAGCCUUCCUUUCCAAUCGAAUCUAUAUCCUCUGUUUCGAAGAAAGCUAUCCCCACAUCUGCCUCAAGAAAAAGAAGAAGCAAUUCUAUUAUAGUAUGAUAAGGAAAGUCAAGCGGACCCGUACCUAGUAGUAGAUUUCCUUGAAUGAGGAUUCUCGGGCAACAACGCAUAUGACGAGCGAUAGGUCAAAGGCACGCCCAAAGGCACAUUCUUUUUAAUUCAAUAGGGUUGUCAAAGCUUCAGAAAAGGUUUCAUCAUCUUUAGCGGCAUAGGGGAUUUUAAAUGGAGAUUUAUCGGAACGGAACCGGCUUCCUCAGCAGCAUCCCUAGUAGAGUCCUAACUUUCGAGCUUAGCUUUGCUGGAUUCCUAAUCUCAUUUUAUGAGCGAUGCUUCCUACUUCUGGUACGGUUACGGGGAGGGCUUAAAGAAAUUAAACAUACGUUUUAGGAUUCCUACACGCGAUAUAUUCGUACGAGCGAUGUAUGACUACGAUUUGAUAGUUCAAAGAAUCAGCAAUUCAAUAGGAAUCCUCCCCUCGCCACUUCAAAGGGAAAGAUCCACCCUGGCUAUGACCCACCUAAGGCUCCGUUACCUUAUCAACGAAUCGUAGGCCUCGUACGUGCGUAUUGGUUUCUAGCGCAAGGAAGCAUAUGAACAGCACUGGUAACCCCGUCUCCUACAAGGAUUCUCUGUUCCCUAACUGUUCCAGUCGACCAAAGCACUUUCAUACCACGGCGAAUUGGAAAAAAUAGAACAUUCUAAGCGAAAGAAGCUUGUUAAAGCUAAUGAUAAAGAAACAGAUAGUAGUUCUUGCAAGCUAGGGAUGAAACUAAUCAGACUAGCUACGCUGGCUAAAGAAUAAAAGUAUGAACCAAGUGAAAACUUCCUUAUUGUGGGACCUGGCGAAGAGCGAGAGCAAGGAAAGGUUGUGUGUGCAAUAGCUAUAGCAAUAGAUCAAAUCGA
This 1062-nucleotide long non-coding RNA is filed under the name Oryza brachyantha (malo sina). RNAcentral's name for it is "long non-coding RNA (OBRA_LNC003458)". The record is from RNAcentral. Lineage: Eukaryota; Viridiplantae; Streptophyta; Magnoliopsida; Poales; Poaceae.